CUAAACACAUAUGUAAACCGACACUAGAAUCAGUAACUUACAAAACCCAUAAGAAAUCAUGAACCAAUAAAGCAUCAACACCCCACAAAAGGUAGUAAAAAAGAAAAAAAAAAUAGAAAAAUCAAUAAAGAGAGAGAGAUAAUAAAGUUAGCAAAAUCUCAGCCGCAAAUGGAUGUCUCACCAUUUAUGAGCAUUUAGAGAGAAGAACAAGAGUGGGAGAAGAAAAGAGGAGAGAGAGUGAGAGGAAGCAUGUGAUGUGUGCAAAGCGAAGUACCAAGUUGGGAGAUGGGGAGGGGUCAAACUGCCUUUCACCAGCUUCAACUUUUUUGGACGAUUCAUUCAUUAUCGAGGAAAAAGCAUGAUUUUAUUAUUUAUA
This is a long non-coding RNA of Brassica oleracea var. oleracea, 376 nucleotides long. RefSeq lists it as uncharacterized. The transcript is spliced from 3 exons. The record is from RefSeq and is a predicted model, not a curated record. NCBI's taxonomy places the organism in Eukaryota, Viridiplantae, Streptophyta, Magnoliopsida, Brassicales, Brassicaceae.